UACAGAGGUCUCGAGCGUUAGGCGGAAUCACUGGGCUUAAAGCGUGUGUAGGCGGAUCGGUAAGUACCUUGUGAAAUCCCACAGCUUAACUGUGGAACUGCUUGGUAUACUGCCAGUCUUGAGCCACUUAGGGGCUACCGGAACAAAUGGUGGAGCGGUGAAAUGCGUAGAUAUCAGGAGGAAUACCUAUGGCGAAAGCAGGUAUCUGGGCCAUCACUGACGCUGAGCUGCGAAAGCUAGGGGAGCAAACAGG
RNAcentral lists this ribosomal RNA (253 nucleotides) under uncultured bacterium. RNAcentral's name for it is "partial 16S ribosomal RNA". It matches the Rfam family "Bacterial small subunit ribosomal RNA", at positions 524 to 776 of the family's 1533-position model. The record is from RNAcentral.